This is a non-coding RNA of Triplophysa rosa, 74 nucleotides long. The record is from the annotation of a RefSeq genome assembly. Lineage: Eukaryota; Metazoa; Chordata; Actinopteri; Cypriniformes; Nemacheilidae.
GCUCCAGUGGUGCAAUCGGUCAGCGCGCGGUACUUAUAAUGCCGAGGUGGUGAGAUCGAGUCUCACCUGGAGCA